GUGAGAGGCCUCCCCGGAGCCCACCCUGCUGCCACCCAACCCCCGACUUCCAACUUCCAGGAGGGUGACAAGUCAGAGACCGGGGCUGAAGCACCCCAGGCCACCAUGUCUGGUUGUGGCAUCGGAGCGGAGCCGAGCAGGAGAGGGCGUGAGGGGCAGGGCGGACGUGGAGAUGAGCAAGACCUGAUUCCUGUCCCUAAGGAGAGGCUUCCGGGUGGACUGGACGUGAGUCAUCACCUGAAGUUUGAGAUGUUGUGAAAAAGCUGCAAGAAAGGGUGACCUAGACGGUGGCAGUUGGUGGCGGUUGGUGCACGCACAGGAAACACGGAAGGGCUCCUCUGCACCCCUCCCCUGCCGGGGUGACCUGGCAAUCUGCUAGCAGCCACUUCCCGGGCACCCCUGCCCUCCAGGGUCCCUCCUCUGCUCACCCUCCCCAAAUGAAAUACUCCCCCCUGCCCCCCCCAAGCCCUUCCUGC
Molecule: long non-coding RNA, 476 nt
Organism: Nyctereutes procyonoides (raccoon dog)
Lineage: Eukaryota; Metazoa; Chordata; Mammalia; Carnivora; Canidae
Exons: 3
Source: RefSeq, a predicted model, not a curated record